Molecule: ribosomal RNA, 497 nt
Filed under: uncultured bacterium
Lineage: Bacteria
Description: partial 16S ribosomal RNA
Rfam family: Bacterial small subunit ribosomal RNA
Source: RNAcentral
GAUGAACGCUGGCGGCGUGCCUAAUACAUGCAAGUCGAGCGAACGGACGAGAAGCUUGCUUCUCUGAUGUUAGCGGCGGACGGGUGAGUAACACGUGGAUAACCUACCUAUAAGACUGGGAUAACUUCGGGACACCGGAGCUAAUACCGGAUAAUAUUUUGAACCGCAUGGUUCAAAAGUGAAAGACGGUCUUGCUGUCACUUAUCGAUGGAUCCGCGCUGCAUUAGCUAGUUGGUAAGGUAACGGCUUACCAAGGCAACGAUGCAUAGCCGACCUGAGAGGGGGAUAGGCGACACGGGAAGGGAGACACGGUCCAGACGCCUACGGGAGGCAGCAGUAGGGAAUCUUACGCAAUGGGCGAAAGCCUGACGGAGCAACGCCGCGUGAGUGAUGAAGGCCUUCGGAGCGUAAAACCCUGUUAUUAGGGAAGAACAUAUGUGUAAGUAACUGUGCACAGCGUGACGGUACCUAAUCAGAAAGCCACGGCUAACUACGUG